Molecule: ribosomal RNA, 480 nt
Filed under: Starmerella apicola
Lineage: Eukaryota; Fungi; Ascomycota; Dipodascomycetes; Dipodascales; Trichomonascaceae
Description: partial large subunit ribosomal RNA
Rfam family: Eukaryotic large subunit ribosomal RNA
Source: RNAcentral
AAACCAACAGGGAUUGCCUUAGUAGCGGCGAGUGAACAGGCAAGAGCUCAGAUUUGAAAGCCCUCGGGCAUUGUAUUCUGAAGCCUUGGUCUUGAGAAUCGGUGUUUAAGUCUUCUGGAAAGGAGCGCCAUGGAGGGUGAUAGCCCCGUACGACACCACUCUCAUUGUAGGACUUUGGCAUGGAGUCGAGUUGUUUGGGAAUGCAGCUCAAAUGGGUGGUAUGCUCCAUCUAAAGCUAAAUAUCUGCGAGAGACCGAUAGCGAACAAGUACUGUGAAGGAAAGAUGAAAAGAACUUUGAAAAGAGAGUGAAAAAGUACGUGAAAUUGUUGAAAUGGAAGGAUAGGCCGCUAACCAUGUAGGGUCGUGUUCGAGGGGAAGAUAAAAGCUGAAGAAUGUAGCUCCUCGGAGUGUUAUAGCUUCAGUCCAUAUUCCCUCUCGAGCGCGAGGAUUGAAGACUCUGCUAAAUGGUGGUCUAUCAC